This is a long non-coding RNA of Phacochoerus africanus (Common warthog), 3340 nucleotides long. RefSeq lists it as uncharacterized. The record is from RefSeq and is a predicted model, not a curated record. The transcript has 4 exons. Lineage: Eukaryota; Metazoa; Chordata; Mammalia; Artiodactyla; Suidae.
CUCUGCGCCUGAUGUGUGACGAUGGUUGAGAGACAGUGCCUACAUGAGUCACUCCUGUCAGAAUGACCUCAGAGCAUGAUUCAGAGGGAACUCGGAGUCCAGGAGAGCUCUUGGAAUGAGAGAUGAAUCUGUCUCCUUCGGUGUGAUGCCUGCCACGAGACAGUCUUCCUGGAAAACAAACAAACACACAAACAAAAACUACUGCCUGGUGGCCCUCUUCAUCUGCAUUUUUCCCCCUCCAGAGGUUGCCUAGGAGGUUUGUGUAAUUGCCUUGUGCUCGGGAAGUGAAUCGUUCUUGAAAACUCAGCAGCCAGGAAUCUUGGUGGGGCCGGGAAAGCUCAGGGCAGCAUGUUUUUGGGGGCUCACGAAUCCUCAGGGAUGCAGAAGGGUCCACAAGUUUAACGCAUCAGCUGCUGUGGAGACCAUUCUUACUCCUUGACCUAGGAGUGGAUUCUAGGAGUGAGGCGGCAUCGGGUGACUUCUGGUUUCUGCUCUCCUCUUCUGACUGCGGGCCAAGGUUAGACAGGUUCUUUGGCUAUAAAGGUGCGAGCCGUUGCUCGUCUCCUUGUUGGAGAUGCGUGCAGCUCAGGAGGACCUCUGACCAGCUCAGCAGCCCUCAGACCUCGGUGGAAGGAAGCUCACCCCAGGGGUGGGGGGAGGGGUGCAAAAAAGUUGACUCUCUCCUAGAGACAAAAACCGUGCCUGUAGCCACCCCUCCAGGAGCCUCAUCGAAGGAGGGAGGUGUAUGAGGCAGGCUUCCAAAUCUCAGCCCUCCCACACCUCCCCAUCCCAAACCGAGUGUGUGUGUGUGUGUGUGUGUGUGUGUGUGUGUGAAAGAGAGAGAGGGAGGGAGGGAGGGAGGGAGUCAGGCCUAGUCACUAGGGAUGAAGAGGGGAAGACUGAAGAAAGAAGAGGAGAUGGGUAUUUUUGUUUGACAACUCUGAAACAAAGAGGUUAGAUCACUAGAAACUUCCUCGAAGUCCCUGGGAACGAGCUCAGGCCCGGAGAACUGAGGUUUAGUCCUUCUCUGGCUCCAGUCUGUUCCCCAACCAGGAUGAGCCCUCACCUCCUCCUGUCUCUGUUUUGUCACCUGUCCGCGGGACAACUAGAGCAGGUGUCUUUGGUCAUUUAUGGACGCGCAGGGUAGUGGUGGGCAGAGCUGGUCUGGGGAGAAAGAGUAACCUCAGAGGGUCCCGAGCCGGAGGACCGGAAGCUUGGAAAGUCAGAGAGGGAGGACGAGGGACAGAGAUGCAGGUGGAGAGAGGACCCCAGGGGGACUCUGACGUGACAGUAGACGCCCGAGGCAAUGCCAGGUGAUGAAGCCCACAGCCCACCAUGCCUGGUAGAUUCCAGAACAGAACCGCAGCUCCUUCUGUGGUUCAUCAGUUCCUUCUGAACAGUCUUGCACUGGAGAUGCUCCCGUCACAAGGAGCCAACCCCGGUAAGAUCUAGGGGCUGAGGGAGAUGGAGAGGAGGGCCGGGGGGAAACUCUGGGCACAGUGGACCAGCCGGGCUCACUGCCGGGGACAGGACUGGCGGAGGAGAGGGAUGGGCAAGGGGCUGCCAGUCCCAGCAUCUCACAGGUUGCACCCGGGGGAUUCCCUGGGAUGGGUUCAUGGGCAGGUGCCGGCCCUCAGGAGUGGGCGUGGGUGACGGUGACCCAAACAAGGCAGGCGGUGUUUGGAGGAGAUUUAGCGGAGCGGAGUAGUAGAGGCCAAGCCAGAGGCAGGAAUGCAGCCCCAGAACCUGGAGCCCCAGAGGAGGUGGAAGGUGUGACUUGGGGGAUGACAGCAGCCAGGGUCCAGAACUUUUGUCGCUAGGAAUUCCCCCGAGAGCUGCAAAGAAAAGCAAUGGGAAAGCAAGAUCCGCUUCUCCCCCUCUAGAAGGUGGAUUCUUGCGUCUUUUCUAAUCUGUGUCCUGCCGGAAAUAUUUAAAUUCUGGGUCUUUCCACCUGCUAUCCUAUCACACAGACACAUGGGAGUUCAUGGCAAAUUUUAGAGACAGGACCUUUUUACAAAUGAGGGAAUGAAACCUUUCAAUGCUGAGUGACCUUUUCAAUACAACUGGUAAGCACAGGGAGGUAUUGACCCUCAGGUGUUUUCAGGCGGUGGUGGUGGAGGUGGAGGUGUGUUUAACUGUACCUACCACGUGACGUUGUGUCAUAAAUCAGAGGUGACAUAGCCAAGCAGUCAAAACUGCAGGCUUUUGGAGACUGCGCGCCUGUGACUUUGGACAUAUAUCUUUCUCUCUGCCUCGGUUUCCUCAUCUGUAAACAAGGAUAACAAUAGCAAUUCUAAAAUGAGGAUCAUAAUAGUACCAUCUCAUACCCACAUGUAAAAUAUGCCUAACAUGGGGCAUAGCAUGUAUGAAACACUUAGUAAUUCAUUAUUAAUAUGUUAAUGUUUUAUUAACCAAACUUGCCCCAUUUGAAUUUCUUUAUGUUUGGAGUGGAAUUUUAAUUUUAUUAUCUCUUAUUUCCUCUGUUUAUCUCGGUUAAAAAUUUGAUUUUGACAUUUUAAAUUGUAAUGAUCACAUAGAGAUCAAAAAUUCAAAUAAUCAAAAUGUCUGUUUUCAAAAAUUUCCCUUUCCCUCCUGUUUCCUCUCCUUCCCAGUGUCAACUCCUGUCUGCAAAGCAGUAGCAACUGUAAAUGAUUUAUUUUUGUAUUUUCUGCCCAGGGAUUUUUGCAUAUCUAGGGCACUACCAAUGUAUAUCCCUCUGACCCACAAACUUUUUUACAUGAGCAGUAACUUACUCUCUAUGUUGUUCUUUCUUUUCUUUCUUAAAGUUAUGUCCAAACUCCUGAACAGCGAAUUUUCAUAAUUUUUUUCUUUUCUUUCUAUUGAAUUUUACAACCACCUUGUAUUUUGUUGCAUGAAUGUACCCUCCUGGUGGACAGGUAGGCUAGUGACAACCUUUUGUUAUUACAAAUGUGAUGGAAUAAAUGAACUUGCACAUGUUAUUCUGCAUGGGUAUAUCCACAAGAUGAAUCGAAGAGAUGUCAUCAUUCAAGCAGUGUGUUUACUUCCAAUUUUGAUAGCUACCUUUCGUCAAGUUGCCUUCUAUAAGGUUAUACAAAUUUAAAUUCCUGCUGGCAAUGCAUGAGAGUUUGAGUGCUUGCUGGAGUUCCCUGGGGGCUCAGUGGAUUAAGGAACUGGCAUUGUCAGUGCUGUGGCUCGGGUUGCUGCUGUGGGGUGGGUUAGAUCCCUGGCCUAGGAACAUUUGCAUGCAGCAAACACAGCCAGGAAAAAAAAAAAAAAGAGAGUUCCUGCUUCUCUUUAACUUUGCUAAAUAGGGAAAAAUUACAUUAAAAUUUUAAAUUGAUUUAGGGAAAUUUAUAUA